RNAcentral lists this ribosomal RNA (301 nucleotides) under uncultured bacterium. Its description in RNAcentral is "partial 16S ribosomal RNA". It matches the Rfam family "Bacterial small subunit ribosomal RNA", at positions 509 to 808 of the family's 1533-position model. The record is from RNAcentral.
CAGCUCGCCGCGGUAAUACGAAGGGGGCUAGCGUUAAUCGGAAUUACUGGGCGUAAAGCGUGCGUAGGCGGUUUGUUAAGUCUGUUGUGAAAUCCCCGGGCUCAACCUGGGAAUGGCAAUGGAUACUGGCAAGCUAGAGUGUGUCAGAGGAUGGUGGAAUUCCCGGUGUAGCGGUGAAAUGCGUAGAGAUCGGGAGGAACAUCAGUGGCGAAGGCGGCCAUCUGGGACAACACUGACGCUGAGGCACGAAAGCGUGGGGAGCAAACAGGAUUAGAUACCCGGGUAGUCCCUGUCUCUUAUA